ACUCUAUUAGUUUAUAUCUUUAAAAUAUGACUUUGAAGCAGUUAAGAAUUAUUGAGUG
RNAcentral lists this transfer RNA (58 nucleotides) under Strongyloides procyonis. RNAcentral describes it as "tRNA-Phe". Lineage: Eukaryota; Metazoa; Nematoda; Chromadorea; Rhabditida; Strongyloididae. The record is from RNAcentral.